AUCCUAGUGCACGGGUUUUACACGUAUCAGUGAGGAGACAUCCGAGAUCGUGUUUUUGCUAGUUGAAAACUACCAAAUUGACUACUUCAAGUAGGCCUACGGGCCAGCUUGGGAAUUUUUGAAACACUACUGCCUCGUCUCCUUGCUAGU
This 150-nucleotide small nuclear RNA is filed under the name Penicillium griseofulvum. RNAcentral describes it as "U4 spliceosomal RNA". It matches the Rfam family "U4 spliceosomal RNA". Rfam says of the family: U4 small nuclear RNA (U4 snRNA) is a component of the major U2-dependent spliceosome. The structure of U4 snRNA from yeast and human has been reported. Lineage: Eukaryota; Fungi; Ascomycota; Eurotiomycetes; Eurotiales; Aspergillaceae. The record is from Rfam by way of RNAcentral.